AAGCUCGUAGUUGAAUUUCGGGAUCAAUAUAUUGGUCAUGCUUAGGUAUGUACUGGUCUUAUUGAUUUCUCCCUUCUGAUGAACCAUGAUGUCAUUAAUUUGGUGUUAUGGGGAAUCAGGACUAUUUCUUUGAAAAAAUUAGAGUGUUUAAAGCAGGCUCACGCUUGAAUACAUUAGCAUGGAAUAAUGAAAUAGGACGUUUGAUUCUAUUUUGUUGGUUUCUAGGAUUGACGUAAUGAUUAAUAGGGAUAGUUGGG
Molecule: ribosomal RNA, 257 nt
Filed under: uncultured Glomeromycotina
Lineage: Eukaryota; Fungi; Glomeromycota
Description: partial 18S ribosomal RNA
Rfam family: Eukaryotic small subunit ribosomal RNA
Source: RNAcentral